RNAcentral lists this ribosomal RNA (253 nucleotides) under uncultured bacterium. RNAcentral describes it as "partial 16S ribosomal RNA". It matches the Rfam family "Bacterial small subunit ribosomal RNA", at positions 524 to 776 of the family's 1533-position model. The record is from RNAcentral.
GACGAACCGUCCUAACGUUGUUCGGAAUCACUGGGCUUAAAGGGCGCGUAGGCGGGCCAUCAAGUCGGGGGUGAAAUACUUCGGCUUAACCGGAGAACAGCUUUCGAUACUGGUGGCCUAGAGGGAGGUAGGGGUCUGUGGAACUUCCGGUGGAGCGGUGAAAUGCGUUGAUAUCGGAAGGAACGCCGGUGGCGAAAGCGACGGACUGGACCUCUUCUGACGCUGAGGCGCGAAAGCUAGGGGAGCAAACGGG